Molecule: ribosomal RNA, 305 nt
Filed under: uncultured bacterium
Lineage: Bacteria
Description: bacterial SSU rRNA
Rfam family: Bacterial small subunit ribosomal RNA
Source: RNAcentral
UCCUACGGGGGGCAGCAGUGAGGAAUAUUGGUCAAUGGUCGGGAGACUGAACCAGCCAAGCCGCGUGAGGGAUGAGGGUACAGAGUAUCGUAAACCUCUUUUGUCAGGGAACAAAGGCGGGGACGUGUCCCCGGAUGAGUGUACCUGAAGAAAAAGCAUCGGCUAACUCCGUGCCAGCAGCCGCGGUAAUACGGAGGAUGCGAGCGUUAUCCGGAUUUAUUGGGUUUAAAGGGUGCGCAGGCGGUCUGUUAAGUCAGCGGUCAAAGCCCGGGGCUCAACCCCGGCCCGCCGUUGAAACUGGCAGG